This 385-nucleotide unclassified non-coding RNA is filed under the name uncultured Phycisphaerae bacterium. RNAcentral's name for it is "contains 16S-23S intergenic spacer region". The record is from RNAcentral. Lineage: Bacteria; Pseudomonadati; Planctomycetota; Phycisphaerae.
UCCGGUUUGACACCGGCAGUCUCGCUAGAGUCCCCGGCAUGACCCGCUGGCAACUAGCGAUAGGGGUUUCGCUCGUUAAGGGACUUAACCCGACACUUCACAGCACGAGCUGACGACAGCCAUGCAGCACCUGUGCACGUUUCACCCGAAGGCAGCCGGCUCCACUUUCAUGGACGGCAUCCGUGCAUGUCAAACCCAGGUAAGGUUCUUCGCGUUGCUUCGAAUUAAUCCACAUGCUCCACCGCUUGUGUGAGCCCCCGUCAAUUCCUUUGAGUUUUAGCCUUGCGGCCGUACUCCCCAGGCGGCGCACUUACCACUUUUGCUGCGGCACGAGGGACGUCAGAGUCUCUCAUACCCAGUGCGCAUCGUUUACGGCGUGGACUAC